CUCCUACGGGGGGCAGCAGUGAGGAAUAUUGGUCAAUGGACGAGAGUCUGAACCAGCCAAGUAGCGUGAAGGAUGACUGCCCUAUGGGUUGUAAACCUCUUUUGUCGGGGAGCAAAGAGAGUCACGUGUGGCUCAUUGAGAGUACCCGAAGAAAAAGCAUCGGCUAACUCCGUGCCAGCAGCCGCGGUAAUACGGAGGAUGCGAGCGUUAUCCGGAUUUAUUGGGAUUAAAGGGUGCGCAGGCGGAGGUGCAAGUCAGUGGUCAAAUUGCGGGGCUCAACCCCGUACUGCCGUUGAAACUGCAUC
This 305-nucleotide ribosomal RNA is filed under the name uncultured bacterium. RNAcentral describes it as "bacterial SSU rRNA". It matches the Rfam family "Bacterial small subunit ribosomal RNA", at positions 336 to 639 of the family's 1533-position model. The record is from RNAcentral.